This 484-nucleotide ribosomal RNA is filed under the name uncultured bacterium. Its description in RNAcentral is "partial 16S ribosomal RNA". It matches the Rfam family "Bacterial small subunit ribosomal RNA", at positions 28 to 507 of the family's 1533-position model. The record is from RNAcentral.
AUUGAACGCUGGCGGCAUGCUUUACACAUGCAAGUCGAACGGCAGCGCGGGCUUCGGCCUGGCGGCGAGUGGCGAACGGGUGAGUAAUGCAUCGGAACGUGCCCAGUAGUGGGGGAUAGCCCGGCGAAAGCCGGAUUAAUACCGCAUACGACCUGAGGGUGAAAGCGGGGGACCGAAAGGCCUCGCGCUAUUGGAGCGGCCGAUGUCGGAUUAGCUAGUUGGUGGGGUAAAGGCUUACCAAGGCGACGAUCCGUAGCUGGUCUGAGAGGACGACCAGCCACACUGGGACUGAGACACGGCCCAGACUCCUACAGGAGGCGGCAGUGGGGAAUUUUGGACAAUGGGGGCAACCCUGAUCCAGCCAUGCCGCGUGCGGGAAGAAGGCCUUCGGGUUGUAAACCGCUUUUGUUCGGGAAGAAAUCCUCUGGGCUAAUACCCCGGGGGGAUGACGGUACCGGAAGAAUAAGCACCGGCUAACUACGUG